Long non-coding RNA from Rhineura floridana, 654 nucleotides. RefSeq lists it as uncharacterized. The record is from RefSeq and is a predicted model, not a curated record. The transcript has 3 exons. NCBI's taxonomy places the organism in Eukaryota, Metazoa, Chordata, Lepidosauria, Squamata, Rhineuridae.
CAGUCCUGUGCACACUUACGUGGGAGAAAGCGUCACUGCAGACCAAAAGCAGACAGAGAGCGACCAAAGCAGAAAUCAAGCUCAGGACUGCUCAGCUUUCAUUGCCAAUCCUCGGAGAUGACUGGAAAUCAAGAGGCUCCACCUACCUCCCCCAAAGUUCCCUGGACAGCAGAGAAAAGAAGAGUAAUUUAAAACAGAUCCUGGUGCUGUAAUGCUGAAAACAUCUCUUUGAGGCAUAUGAGGAGGAUAUGUCAUGUGGUGUGUUUCUUCAGGUCAGAAAUUAUUGUUUGUAUUAACUUUGCUUUGGAGAAAUCCUUGAUAUUUGUAGAUGUUCAUGCACUCUUAAAUUAUGUGAUGUGGGACUAACGGAGUGACAACAAAAGUGGCUUUUGUGAGCCCUUAUGGUGGCUAAGAGACUUAUAUUACCAGGCUGGAAGGACAAACACCCACCGGUAGUCAAAAAAUCUCACUGCCAUUUCUACAUUCAAAUUCAUGGCCUAUAAUCAUCAACCUCGUUUAGAUACCUAUUCAGAUAUAUGGACUGCUUUUUUAAUCAAUAUAUUUAAAUUAGAAUUGAUGGACUAUUCCUACUGUUAAUGUCAGCUGACAAUAUUUUAACUCUCUCCUUGAUUACUGGUCAACACUAAUUUUAUU